GACGAACGCUGGCGGCGUGCCUAACACAUGCAAGUCGAGCGAAGUGAGUACUACGGUACGAACUUAGCGGCGGGCGGGUGAGUAACGCGUGGACAAUCUACCCUGUAGACUGGGAUAACACCUCGAAAGGGGUGCUAAUACCGGAUAAUGUCGAGAAGCGGCAUCGCUUUUCGAAGAAAGGAGAGAAUCCGCUAUAGGAGGAGUCCGCGUCCCAUUAGCUAGUUGGUGAGGGUAACGGCCCACCAAGGCGACGAUGGGUAGCCGGCCUGAGAGGGUGAACGGCCACACUGGAACUGAGACACGGUCCAGACUCCUAUGGGAGGCAGCAGUGGGGAAUAUUGUGCAAUGGGGGAAACCCUGACACAGCAACGCCGCGUGAGCGAAGAAGGCCUUCGGGUUGUAAAGCUCAAUAGUAUGGGAAGAUAAUGACGGUACCAUACGAAAGCCCCGGCUAACUACGUGCCAGCCGCCGCAGUAA
This 478-nucleotide ribosomal RNA is filed under the name uncultured bacterium. RNAcentral's name for it is "partial 16S ribosomal RNA". It matches the Rfam family "Bacterial small subunit ribosomal RNA", at positions 28 to 523 of the family's 1533-position model. The record is from RNAcentral.